AGCUCCAAUAGCGUAUAUUAAAGUUGUUGCGGUUAAAAAGCUCGUAGUUGGAUUUCAGUUCUGGACUGACGGUUCACCGCCCGGUGCACACUGUCACGCUCCGAACAGCCACAACAGCCCGCUGGCUCGCACGGGGUGCUCUUCAUCGAGUGUCCCGCGUGGCCGGCAGAGUUUACUUUGAAAAAAUUAGAGUGCUCAAAGCAGGCUACACUGACGGCCUGAAUGCCUAUGCAUGGAAUAAUGGAAUAGGACCUCGGUUCUAUUUUGUCGGUUUUCUGAACCCGAGGUAAUGACUAAUAGGAACAGGCGGGGGCAUUCGUAUUGCGACGCUAGAGGUGAAAUUCUUGGACCGUCGCAAGACGAACUACUGCGAAAGCAUUUGCCAAGGAUGUUUUCAUUA
This 400-nucleotide ribosomal RNA is filed under the name phytoplankton environmental sample. RNAcentral describes it as "partial small subunit ribosomal RNA". It matches the Rfam family "Eukaryotic small subunit ribosomal RNA", at positions 587 to 975 of the family's 1831-position model. The record is from RNAcentral.